RNAcentral lists this long non-coding RNA (800 nucleotides) under Homo sapiens (human). RNAcentral describes it as "HSALNT0405908". The record is from RNAcentral. Lineage: Eukaryota; Metazoa; Chordata; Mammalia; Primates; Hominidae.
CUCUCUCUCUCUCCUGCUCUGCAAUGUGAAGAUGUGCCUGCUUCCACUUUGCCUUCUGCCAUGAUUGGCCAAACAGCUGGGAAGAGGCAGAACCAGGUUCAAGAGCAGGCCAGCCUCGGUCGGCAACUGGGGGUCUCAGCAGGUUGCCUACCUCAUGCUCUAGGGCCCCGCCGUUUCCUGGAACCUUGCCUUGAACAGAAAUGAGAACAAGGAUGUGAAGAGAUAAUCUGAAACAACAGUAUAUGACUCAAACUCUCCUCUUCUCCUCCUCCCAUAAGGCAAUGCAGAAAAGAAAAAACAUAAGGAUAAACAUAUUGAGAUUUGCUCUUGCUCCAGCACAAUUCCCUGAAAGGCUUCUUCUAAGCCUGGUAUCCUGGGAGUGGCAGUGUUUUCAGCGUGGCAGACAGAGCAGUCAGGAAGCUGGGAGCCCAAACAGCGUGAGACAAAGCCACAAAACAGAGGCCGCGCAUCAGUCGAAAGUGCUCCCGGUGCCUGUGGUCCAUAGAGUGGAGUGAGUCUCUAAGCAAAUCUGGAGGGACUCUGGGAGCUGAAGAUUCAGAAUAUCUCCACUUAUUCUUGCCAUAGCCUUUGCUGCUCAACUGUUGGGUGCCAUGAUGAUGGAGUCUUGCUCUGUUGCCAGGCUGGAGUGCAGUGGCGCAAUCUCAGCUCACCGCAAACUCCGCCUCCUGGGUUCAAGUGAUUCUUCUGCCUCAGCCUCCUGAGUAGCUGGGAUUACAGGUGCGUACCACCACACCCAACUAAUUUUUAUAUUUUUGGUAGAGACGGGGUUUCACCUUGUU